UUGCGAAAAUCUUGAUUUGACAAUGGAGGAAUGGAGGAAGGAAUAGAUAGUCAAGACUCGACAAGCCAAUUAUUUAGCCUUUGCAAACUGGAGAUUGAAGGCUUACCAAAGUUAGUGGAUUUUCCGCAAUGGCUUCUUCACAGAUCUAAUACCGGUUUAAAAGUUAUCAAAGUUGCAUGUUGUUGCAACUUCAGGAACUUUCCAAACUACAUGCACGGCAUACCAUCGCUUGAGUUACGUAUCACUGGUUGCCCCCAAUAUCAAGGUCAAGACCUCAAUAACUCACUCGGUUUAGUUUGAGUGUUUGGAAGAUGGAAAUUAUAUGAGGUUGCUAGGUGCAGUGAAUUGCCUUAUAUGAGGUGUUGUGGCCUUUCAACAAAAAUUAUCGGCCAAUGAUAAACAUAAAUGUUAAAUGUUCAAUUAGUUGGGCUUUUUUUUUUUUUUCAUACAACCAGGAGGAGUAAUUUCUUUGGAUCGUAGAGCGUAAAUAUUUUUUAAAAUCAUUUACCAUUCUAACCAUCACUUUGUUGGUUCCAUUUCCUUCCUUGUUGUGUUAUUAUUUACAAUUUUCCGUGGUUUGUGGAUUUGAGUAUUUUAUGUUUGUCUAGUGUAAUUGUAUUAAUGUUGUACUACAUAUUUGUAAUAUUGUACUUGUAUAAAAGAAGUCCUUUAAAACUUAA
This is a non-coding RNA of Jatropha curcas, 680 nucleotides long. NCBI's taxonomy places the organism in Eukaryota, Viridiplantae, Streptophyta, Magnoliopsida, Malpighiales, Euphorbiaceae. The record is from RefSeq and is a predicted model, not a curated record.